GAUGAAGAACGCAGUGAAAUGCGAUAAGUAAUGUGAAUUGCAGAAUUCAGUGAAUCAUCGAAUCUUUGAACGCACAUUGCGCCCUCUGGUAUUCCGGGGGGCAUGCCUGUUCGAGCGUCAUUACAACCCUCAAGCUCUGCUUGGUAUUGGGCUCUGCCGGUCCUGGCAGGCCUCAAAGUCAGUGGCGGUGCCAUCCGGCUCCAAGCGUAGUAAUUCUUCUCGCUUCGGAGGCCGCGGUGCGUGCUAGCCAGCAACCCCCAAUUUUUUUCAGGUUGACCUCCGAUCAGGUAGGGAUACCCGCUGAACUUAAGCAUAUCAAUAAGCGGAGGA
This 330-nucleotide unclassified non-coding RNA is filed under the name soil metagenome. RNAcentral's name for it is "partial contains 5.8S ribosomal RNA, internal transcribed spacer 2, and large subunit ribosomal RNA". The stretch from base 1 to 120 matches the Rfam family "5.8S ribosomal RNA", at positions 35 to 154 of the family's 154-position model. The record is from RNAcentral.